RNAcentral lists this transfer RNA (62 nucleotides) under Escherichia coli. Its description in RNAcentral is "tRNA-Lys". It matches the Rfam family "tRNA", at positions 9 to 63 of the family's 71-position model. Rfam says of the family: Transfer RNA (tRNA) molecules are approximately 80 nucleotides in length. Their secondary structure includes four short double-helical elements and three loops (D, anti-codon, and T loops). Lineage: Bacteria; Pseudomonadati; Pseudomonadota; Gammaproteobacteria; Enterobacterales; Enterobacteriaceae. The record is from RNAcentral.
AGCUCAGUUGGUAGAGCAGUUGACUUUUAAUCAAUUGGUCGCAGGUUCGAAUCCUCCCACCA